Molecule: long non-coding RNA, 364 nt
Filed under: Helianthus annuus (common sunflower)
Lineage: Eukaryota; Viridiplantae; Streptophyta; Magnoliopsida; Asterales; Asteraceae
Description: hypothetical non coding rna
Source: RNAcentral
GUUUGUGAUCAUCGCUUAAGGCGUACAUUUGCCUUCUUAUGUACGUUAGGUUACAAGGAUUGUCUGGAAAGCUUGGAUGGAUGAUGUCUCCGGUCAAAAGAACUAACCGACGCAGUUCACGUAGCUCUGGCACGACUUCUAGACGUCGUAAGAUUAAUGAUGCAGUCCAACGUGCGGUCGAGGGGUUACUCCCAAAUCUGAUUCAAACUGUCACCCAACAAAUGCACACUGAAGUACUCCCUGAUUUCAUGCAAACGGUUAUGCAGCAAAUGAAUGAUGCAAGGAGCACCCAACCACCUCCCACUCCUUCUCUUUCCCCAACUCCUCCUUGUUUUUCAACUCCCCCACAUUCGCCACCAAAAGG